This 780-nucleotide ribosomal RNA is filed under the name Triticum aestivum (bread wheat). Its description in RNAcentral is "partial small subunit ribosomal RNA". Lineage: Eukaryota; Viridiplantae; Streptophyta; Magnoliopsida; Poales; Poaceae. The record is from RNAcentral.
AUGAAUGAACAACUCUCUCUGAUUAGCUGGAAUGUUCGGGGAUUAAACGACCCUGCCCGUCGUGCGACGAUCCGCACGUUCCUGGACCGCUCCACUUGCUUGAUUGUUUGCAUUCAGGAGUCGAAGCUAGCGUCCUUUUCGGCCGCCGACCGUAAUGAGAUUGCUGGGCCGCGGUUUGACAUGCAUGCCGCUCUGGAUGCGAACGGCACCAGGGGCGGCAUCCUCCUCUGCUGGAGGUCCGAUCGGUUCACUGCUAGCUCAGUUGUGACUAGGGAGUUUUCCAUCACGGCAUGCUUCACGCUGGUGGACGGGGGGGACCACUGGUCCUUAACCACGGUUUAUGGCCCGCACGAUGAGUCGUGCAAGCCUGCCUUCCUCUCUGAACUCGCGAUCAUACACAACUCAAUGCUGGGUCCAUGGAUGAUUAUUGGGGAUUUCAACCUCAUAAAAGACCCGCAGGACAAGAACAACGAUCGGAUUUGUAGGCGCUGGAUGAACCGAUUCCGUCGAACGCUUAAUCGAUCAAGCCUGCACGAAAUUCCGCUAAUUGGCCGCAAAUACACAUGGAGUAAUGAGCAGCAAGUGCCGACGCUAGUUCGCCUGGACAGAGCUUUUUGUAAUGUAGACUGGGAACUUCUUUUCCCAGCUGCAAAAUUGCUGCCGCAAGCCUCAACUAUUUCGGACCAUUGCCCCUUGAUGCUAGUCAAUGACGGCAUCCUAUCCAUCAAUCAUCGGUUCCGUUUCGAGAGCUACUGGCAGUUCAUUGCCGGCUUCAACUAG